AAUUUGGCUGGUGAUGUUGAAAAAUUAUUGGAGUUCUCACAGAGUCAAGGUGUGAGUUCUGGUGACAGCUACCAGCAUUGCUGUCCCAGGCCCAGUGUCCCCUGGCUGUCCCUGGUGGAACAUCCUCCAGAGUCUGGAAGAGCUCUUUCCUGUGUUCUCCCUUGUUCUGGGGUGGCUGUCACAGCUGUGGGACAGCAGGGCUGGCUCCUUCUGCCUUCCACCAUCUCCUGCACACCCUUGGUAUGCCCAGGAAGAAGGGCCAAGCAUCCCCUUUCCUGGGAAUGUUUCCCCAGCACGAGGUGUUUAAAUCAUUUACAAAGGGCUAAAAUAGAGCUGGCUCCCUUCCAGGCACUCUGGCAUCCAGGCUCUGUAAACAACUCACCCGCCAAGGGAGUCAGCUGGAAAAAAAGCUUUUCAUGUCCAUUCCCAAAGCCCCACUUCCACAGAAACCUUCCAGCAUGAUCCUUUCUCAGCUGUAAGAGCAGCAAACUUGUUUCAGGUCUUCACUGGCCUUCCUUUUCCCUCCACAAGCACACUCGUGGACAUCUCACAUAACUCCCUUCUGCCAGUGGAUGGAAAAAGAGAAGUACUCUGUGCAAAGAAACAAUUAACUGAUGUGGUAAGUCUGAUGUGCCUUUCCCUGCCUUGGAUAUUUCCUAGGGUCCCUUUCAGAGGCAAUUGUUUUUAAUAGCAUUGACCUUUAUGGAGACUUCACCUGGUAUUCACCAGGAAUUCACCUGGGUAUUUUCUCAUGGCUGCUGAUCUGCACCCAGGAGCUCACAGGAAGAAUCAAGAAGACAUUUAUUUCUUAGGCUGCAAGUGAUUCACCAAAAAUCAUUGGGAUACAAGUGGAAAAUGCCAGGGAUCAGAACGCAGCCCAGCUUUCAAAAUCCCAACCAUGCUGGGAGAGCAAGGUCUGGGCUGGCCAGGAGAUCUGCAAGAGGAGCUACCCAGCAUCUCUUUCCUCUGCAGGGUCUGUGGCAGCUCUCAGCUGCUCUCUCCAGGGCCCCCAACCCAAAGGAAUGCCCCAGGAACUAGAGCUCCCAUCCUGUGACUCCCCAGGUGACCAACAAGUUCCCAAACUCCUACUCUGCUCUCAUGGAGGCAGGACACCAAGUGCUGCAGCCUCACCUGCCUGUGCCACACCUGGAUAGCAAUCUCCCCUAACCCUGCUGGAGCAGCUGAACCUCCUGCAACCUCUGCAGCACCAAGUGCAAGGGGAAGGAUGCAGUUCCCUGGUUCCCCAGCUCUGAGAAGGAAGGCUGGUUCAUCCAUCCUGCUGCCAGUGGGGUCCAUACUGUGGCACAAGUCAGCUUCACCCCCAGAAGGGUGACACUGAGGCUGACAGGGUGCUUGGGCAGAGUCAGAGAGCACCAAGUCAUGAUCCAAACACACCCAGAGGAGCUAGGAGCUCCUAUGCACCCCACAGGGCUUUAUCCCCUCAGAGUAGGCAGUAGAAGAU
This 1462-nucleotide long non-coding RNA is filed under the name Serinus canaria (Common canary). RNAcentral describes it as "lncRNA (ENSSCAG00000001155.1)". Lineage: Eukaryota; Metazoa; Chordata; Aves; Passeriformes; Fringillidae. The record is from RNAcentral.